Molecule: ribosomal RNA, 651 nt
Filed under: Laccaria laccata
Lineage: Eukaryota; Fungi; Basidiomycota; Agaricomycetes; Agaricales; Hydnangiaceae
Description: eukaryotic LSU rRNA
Rfam family: 5.8S ribosomal RNA (bases 250-403)
Source: RNAcentral
AAGGAUCAUUAUUGAAUAAACCUGAUGGGCUGUUAGCUGGCUUUUCGAAGCAUGUGCUCGUCUGUCAUCUUUAUCUCUCCACCUGUGCACAUUUUGUAGUCUUGGAUACCUCUCGAGGCAACUCGGAUUUUAGGAUUGCCGUGCUGUACAAGUCGGCUUUUCUUUCAUUUCCAAGACUAUGUUUUUAUAUACACCAAAGUAUGUUUAAAGAAUGUCAUCAAUGGGAACUUGUUUCCUAUAAAAUUAUACAACUUUCAGCAACGGAUCUCUUGGCUCUCGCAUCGAUGAAGAACGCAGCGAAAUGCGAUAAGUAAUGUGAAUUGCAGAAUUCAGUGAAUCAUCGAAUCUUUGAACGCACCUUGCGCUCCUUGGUAUUCCGAGGAGCAUGCCUGUUUGAGUGUCAUUAAAUUCUCAACCUUCCAACUUUUAUUAGCUUGGCUAGGCUUGGAUGUGGGGGUUGCGGGCUUCAUUAAUGAGGUCGGCUCUCCUUAAAUGCAUUAGCGGAACUUUUGUGGACCGUCUAUUGGUGUGAUAAUUAUCUACGCCGUGGAUGUGAAGCAGCUUUAUAAAGUUCUGCUUCUAACCGUCCAAUAACUUGGACAAUUUUGACAAUUUGACCUCAAAUCAGGUAGGACUACCCGCUGAACUUAA